CCUACGGGUGGCAGCAGUGAGGAAUAUUGGUCAAUGGCCGGAAGGCUGAACCAGCCAAGCCGCGUGAAGGACGAAGGUGCCAAGCAUUGUAAACUUCUUUUGUCAAGGGACAAAAUCAGGCUCGAGAGCCUGACCGAGGGUACUUGAAGAAAAAGCAUCGGCUAACUCCGUGCCAGCAGCCGCGGUAAUACGGAGGAUGCGAGCGUUAUCCGGAUUUAUGGGGUUUAAAGGGUGCGUAGGCGGAUUGUUAAGUCAGCGGUAAAAGCCCGGGGCUCAACCCCGGCCAGCCGUUGAAACUGGUUGUCUUGAGAUGUCGAGAGGUAUGCGGAAUGCGCAGUGUAGCGGUGAAAUGCUUAGAUAUUGCGCAGAACUCCGAUUGCGAAGGCAGCAUACCGGCGGCGAUCUGACGCUGAGGCACGAAAGCGUGGGUAUCGAACAGGAUUAGAUACCCUUGUAGUC
This 459-nucleotide ribosomal RNA is filed under the name uncultured bacterium. RNAcentral's name for it is "partial 16S ribosomal RNA". It matches the Rfam family "Bacterial small subunit ribosomal RNA", at positions 338 to 795 of the family's 1533-position model. The record is from RNAcentral.